RNAcentral lists this ribosomal RNA (253 nucleotides) under uncultured bacterium. Its description in RNAcentral is "partial 16S ribosomal RNA". It matches the Rfam family "Bacterial small subunit ribosomal RNA", at positions 524 to 776 of the family's 1533-position model. The record is from RNAcentral.
UACGGGGGGGGCAAGCGUUGUUCGGAAUUACUGGGCGUAAAGGGCUCGUAGGCGGCCAACUAAGUCAGACGUGAAAUCCCUCGGCUUAACCGGGGAACUGCGUCUGAUACUGGAUGGCUUGAGUUCGGGAGAGGGAUGUGGAAUUCCAGGUGUAGCGGUGAAAUGCGUAGAUAUCUGGAGGAACACCGGUGGCGAAGGCGGCAUCCUGGACCGACACUGACGCUCAUGCACGAAAGCGUGGGGAGCAAACAGG